GGUGCCCUCGACGCCUUGGUUUACGGCUAGGUGGCUGUUUGUGUGUGUAUGUGCAUGAGGCACACAGACACUUCAGGACUUUAACCACUGCCAUCCAAAUUGUAGUCGUCUCUCAAGACACUUGGAUUCCUUACACAAGAAAGAGCUCAUUGUAAAGCUGCAGAAUUCAGGUUGUGCAGAAGUGAAAGAAAAUUACAAAUUACUUUAUGCAUGCUGGCUGCAGAUUACUGGUGCUCACAAAGAGAGGAUUAUUACUUUAAGUGGAGAAUGGGGGUUAUUCUGUUGAUAAUGCACUACAGUAACCUCUGUUCAUUCCUUUCAUU
This 323-nucleotide long non-coding RNA is filed under the name Athene cunicularia (burrowing owl). Its description in RNAcentral is "lncRNA (ENSACUG00000012942.1)". Lineage: Eukaryota; Metazoa; Chordata; Aves; Strigiformes; Strigidae. The record is from RNAcentral.